Molecule: ribosomal RNA, 405 nt
Filed under: uncultured bacterium
Lineage: Bacteria
Description: partial 16S ribosomal RNA
Rfam family: Bacterial small subunit ribosomal RNA
Source: RNAcentral
AUUGAACGCUGGCGGCAGGCUUAACACAUGCAAGUCGAACGAGUGGCGGACGGGUGAGUAAUGCUUGGGAAUCUAGCUUAUGGAGGGGGAUAACUACGGGAAACUGUAGCUAAUACCGCGUACCAUAGGAUGAGCCCAAGUGGGAUUAGGUAGUUGGUGAGGUAAAGGCUCACCAAGCCGACGAUCUCUAGCUGGUCUGAGAGGAUGACCAGCCACACUGGGACUGAGACACGGCCCAGACUCCUACGGGAGGCAGCAGUAGGGAAUCUUCCGCAAUGGGCGAAAGCUGACGGAGCAACGCCGCGUGAGUGAUGAAGGUCUUCGGAUCGUAAAACUCUGUUAUUAGGGAAGCGGUACCUAAUCAGAAAGCCACGGCUAACUACGUGCCAGCAGCCGCGGUAAUAC